GGGGAUGUAGCUCAGUUGGCUAGAGCGCUUGACUGGCAGUCAAGAGGUCGUUAAACAGUAUUGUGUAUGCUACUAAUUGAUUAACAGGUAUUUAGAAAUAACUAUUUAAUAGUUGUUUAACUAAAGUGCCAUAUAAAUGCCAAAAAGCAGUCUAUCUUACCCCA
Molecule: transfer RNA, 164 nt
Filed under: Flavobacteriaceae bacterium
Lineage: Bacteria; Pseudomonadati; Bacteroidota; Flavobacteriia; Flavobacteriales; Flavobacteriaceae
Description: tRNA-Ala
Source: RNAcentral